Molecule: ribosomal RNA, 425 nt
Filed under: Clarias gariepinus (North African catfish)
Lineage: Eukaryota; Metazoa; Chordata; Actinopteri; Siluriformes; Clariidae
Description: partial large subunit ribosomal RNA
Source: RNAcentral
UUGUAAAAGUAAGUCUUGACUGCCAGUGACUAUUAACGGCCGCGGUAUUUUGACGUGCGACUAGCGCAAUCACUUGUCUUUUAAUGAGACUGUAUGAUGUGCACGAGGCUUGACUGUCUCCGUCGAGUCAUGAAUUGAUCGGCCCGUGCGGAGCGGACUAAGUACAAGACGAGUAGACCCCUUUGGGAAGCUUAAGAUACAGAUCAACUAUGUCAGAACCAAAAAGUUAAACUAAUAGCACUGUCCCUAUCUCGGUGGGCGACCGCGGAUGAACAAGCUCCCUGCGACGGGGCAACCUAACCAAAUGAGUUCUAGUCCAAAUCGACUUAAAUCGCACACGCACAGACGUUCCCGGUAACGAUCAUCGAUGCUCGCAAGGUUAACCGUUGUCAGACCUAGGACCCCUAGUCGUGUGCAAACCAUAC